AAUGAACGCUGGCGGCAUGCCUUACACAUGCAAGUCGAACGGCAGCAUGACCUAGCUUGCUAGGUUGAUGGCGAGUGGCGAACGGGUGAGUAAUGCAUCGGAACGUGCCUUUUAGUGGGGGAUAACGUAGCGAAAGUUACGCUAAUACCGCAUAUUCUCUGAGGAGGAAAGCAGGGGACCUUCGGGCCUUGCGCUAGAAGAGCGGCCGAUGUCGGAUUAGCUAGUUGGUGAGGUAAAGGCUCACCAAGGCACCGAUCCGUAGCGGGUCUGAGAGGAUGAUCCGACACACUGGGACUGAGACAAGGCCCAGACUCCUACGGGAGGCAGCGGUGGGGAAUUUUGGACAAUGGGCGCAAGCCUGAUCCAGCCAUGCCGCGUGAGUGAAGAAGGCCUUCGGGUUGUAAAGCUCUUUCGGCUGGGAAGAAAUCGCACCCUCUAAUACAGGGUGUGGAUGACGGUACCAGCAUAAGAAGCACCGGCUAACUACGUG
RNAcentral lists this ribosomal RNA (490 nucleotides) under uncultured bacterium. RNAcentral's name for it is "partial 16S ribosomal RNA". It matches the Rfam family "Bacterial small subunit ribosomal RNA", at positions 29 to 507 of the family's 1533-position model. The record is from RNAcentral.